RNAcentral lists this ribosomal RNA (498 nucleotides) under uncultured bacterium. RNAcentral describes it as "partial 16S ribosomal RNA". It matches the Rfam family "Bacterial small subunit ribosomal RNA", at positions 899 to 1397 of the family's 1533-position model. The record is from RNAcentral.
ACUCAAAUGAAUAGACGGGGACCCGCACAAGCGGUGGAUUAUGUGGAUUAAUUCGAUGCAACGCGAAAAACCUUACCUACCCUUGACAUGUCCGGGAGCCUGCUGAGAGGCGGGUGUGCUCGAAAGAGAACCGGAACACAGGUGCUGCAUGGCUGUCGUCAGCUCGUGUCGUGAGAUGUUGGGUUAAGUCCCGCAACGAGCGCAACCCUUGCCAUUAGUUGCCACCCGAAAGGGGGCACUCUAAUGGGACUGCCGGUGACAAACCGGAGGAAGGUGGGGAUGACGUCAAGUCCUCAUGGCCCUUAUGGGUAGGGCUUCACACGUAAUACAAUGGCGCGUACAGAGGGUUGCCAAGGGGCGACCUGGAGCCAAUCCCUUAAAGCGCGUCGUAGUCCGGAUUGCAGUCUGCAACUCGACUGCAUGAAGUCGGAAUCGCUAGUAAUCGCGGAUCAGCAUGUCGCGGUGAAUACGUUCCCGGGUCUUGCACACACCGCCCGU